Molecule: unclassified non-coding RNA, 263 nt
Filed under: uncultured fungus
Lineage: Eukaryota; Fungi
Description: partial contains 5.8S ribosomal RNA, internal transcribed spacer 2, and large subunit ribosomal RNA
Rfam family: 5.8S ribosomal RNA (bases 1-52)
Source: RNAcentral
AACGCACAUUGCGCCCGCCGGUAUUCCGGCGGGCAUGCCUGUCCGAGCGUCAUUUCACCACUCAAGCCCAGCUUGGUGUUGGGGCACCCGGCCGCCUGGCGGUCGGGGCCCCCAAGAACAUCGGCGGUCUCGCUUAGGACCCUGAACGCAGUAACUCGCGGUAAAACGCGCUUCGUUUGGAGGCUCCAGGCGGGUUCCAGCCGCUAAACCCCUAAACUUCUUAGGUUGACCUCGGAUCAGGUAGGAAUACCCGCUGAACUUAA